RNAcentral lists this long non-coding RNA (217 nucleotides) under Gossypium barbadense (sea-island cotton). RNAcentral describes it as "long non-coding RNA (GBAR_LNC003048)". Lineage: Eukaryota; Viridiplantae; Streptophyta; Magnoliopsida; Malvales; Malvaceae. The record is from RNAcentral.
CGGGGACGAAAAUUUCUUAAGUGGGGGAGAGUUGUGACAGCCCAAAAUUGACCCUAGUCGGGAAGUGGUUUCGAGACCACAAAACCGAGUCAUAAAAAUAAUUGAUUUCCAUAUUCUAUGCUUAUUAUGUGUGUACAUGAGUAUGUGGAAGUUUCAUUCUCCAAUUUUGCCAAUUGCAUGAGAAAUUAUUAAAUAGGGAUUGAUAUGAGACAUGGUG